CUUAUUCCUUGUAAGGAGCCUUCUAAUUUCUGUGAGUGUGCUGGACUACAGCGAAAUAAAUCGAAGGAGCCAAAAAAAAAGGUAUUGAGGCUAUGUUUGCUACAACAGUGAAUAAAGGAAAAUGGAUUCUUUCUAAUCCCCAUUUUGGCGGACGAUGGUGGCAGUCAGUACAAUGAGGGUGUCGUGAAUGUUUUCUGGGUGUUUCGCCCCAGCUCAAGGAAAAAAAGAAUGGAAGGAAAAGCCAAGGUCUUCA
This is a non-coding RNA of Camelina sativa (false flax), 253 nucleotides long. Lineage: Eukaryota; Viridiplantae; Streptophyta; Magnoliopsida; Brassicales; Brassicaceae. The record is from RefSeq and is a predicted model, not a curated record.